Molecule: long non-coding RNA, 1324 nt
Filed under: Nicotiana tabacum (common tobacco)
Lineage: Eukaryota; Viridiplantae; Streptophyta; Magnoliopsida; Solanales; Solanaceae
Description: long non-coding RNA (NTAB_LNC016795)
Source: RNAcentral
AGGAUAUAAAAUCAUGAAUUCUAACUAUAGGAAAAUGGGCCAGAUAUAUGAUACCAUUUUUUAAACACUUGAAUGAUCUACUGGGAAUCCUUAAUGGGCUGAUGACUAAUUUCAGCCAAGCCCAAAACAAUAGAUUGCUAUACAAAGAAACCCUUUACACAAAUGGCCAUACCAAUGGUAAUGAAUCAGCAUGCCAAAAACAUAGAUACGACAGAAAGGAACUAUUAAAAGCUAACAUUUACAAUCUUUGCCUUUUUAAAACAAAAAAAAAAAAAAAAAAAAUCUUAAUAUUCAGGCUUUAUACUGUAUAUAAAAAUUACCCUCAAACAUUCAGCUAGUAACCUUUACGGGGCUGAUGGCUAACUUCAAACAAAUCCAAUACAAUAAAUGGAUUCAAGAUUCCUUAUACAAAUAAUCAGACUUAUGGUACUUAAAUAACAAAACUAAUGUACAAAAGGAAAUCGGUGACUUUCUAACGUAUAUGAAAUCAAAUGAUAGAUUAAACUUAUACAUGGUCUAAUUAAAUCUUCAGCUUUCAAAGCCUUUUCCAGCAAACUUUAAACUCUUUCCUCAGCUUUAUAGCCUACCAAUCUAUCCAAAUAUUGGUCAGAUCUGCAAACUUCAGCCAAGUGAUCAAUAGUAAAUAACUUUCCAUUCUUCAAAUUCAAAGACAAAUCUACAUGCUUCCUAUACAGCCCAUGUAUAGUAAAAAAAAAUUCUUGUUUCUACAGUUUAAAACCAAAAGAUAAUACCUACUCACAAGUAUGCACAAUAAUGUUCUUGAAAGAAAGAAAAAGAAGAAUGUGGCAUGUUUCAAUCAAACACACAAUAUCUAUAGACCAUUUCUAUUGUAUUCUUACUCCAACCAUUACACCAAUUAAAAAAAAACACAUGAACAGAAUCCCAAACUAAACAGGUUUAAAGCUUCUAACAAGGCUGGAAUUCCAAAGAACAUGGCAAGGAUAAACAAACCAGCUUCAUUUAAGCUCAAAGAUUUAAGAAAUCAACAUUUCAUUCAAGGCAACUCAAACAAGCAUAUAAGAAAGUUCAGAAAAAAUACCUAGCAAAUGGAAAAUAGCCUAAGAAACAAAGCAGCCUGCAGUUUUCUAGCUCAAACAUAGCAAACAAACAGUGAAUCAAGCCCCAAAAACGUUGUUCCAAUCUCUGAAAAACUCUCAGCAAAACCCCAAAAAAUAGAAAGAAGCUCAAAAGUUUUCUUCAGAAUCUUUUUUUUUUUGGGAAAAGAGCUGGUUUCAGCCGUUUGUGUUUUUUCACCCUUUUUUUGUGCCCUAAUGAUUGGAAAAGGAUCUUUUUAUAAAGGAUA